Molecule: non-coding RNA, 86 nt
Organism: Solanum lycopersicum (tomato)
Lineage: Eukaryota; Viridiplantae; Streptophyta; Magnoliopsida; Solanales; Solanaceae
Source: Rfam
UUAAAGAAUUUAGAGACUUCAGCUUGUAAAUUUGAAAAAUUUGAAGACUUUGACUUGCAUGCUUGAAGAAUUUGAAGACUUCAACU